CCUACGGGCGGCAGCAGUGAGGAAUAUUGGUCAAUGGACGAGAGUCUGAACCAGCCAAGUAGCGUGAAGGAUGACUGCCCUAUGGGUUGUAAACUUCUUUUAUAAAGGAAUAAAACGAGGCACGUGUGCCUUUUUGCAUGUACUUUAUGAAUAAGGAUCGGCUAACUCCGUGCCAGCAGCCGCGGUAAUACGGAGGAUCCGAGCGUUAUCCGGAUUUAUUGGGUUUAAAGGGAGCGUAGAUGGGUUGGUAAGUCAGUUGUGAAAGUUUGCGGCUCAACCGUAAAAUUGCAAUUUAUACUGGCAGUCGUGAGUACAGUUGAGGUAGGCGGAAUUCGAGGUGUAGCGGUGAAAUGCUUAGAUAUCACGAAGAACCCCGAUUGCGAAGGCAGCUUACUAAACUGUGACUGACAUUGAUGCUCGAAAGUGUGGGUAUCAAACAGGAUUAGAUACCCCAGUAGUC
This 460-nucleotide ribosomal RNA is filed under the name uncultured bacterium. Its description in RNAcentral is "partial 16S ribosomal RNA". It matches the Rfam family "Bacterial small subunit ribosomal RNA", at positions 338 to 795 of the family's 1533-position model. The record is from RNAcentral.